UGACUACUUGGUGACUGAUCCUGAAC
This 26-nucleotide non-coding RNA is filed under the name Rattus norvegicus (Norway rat). Lineage: Eukaryota; Metazoa; Chordata; Mammalia; Rodentia; Muridae. The record is from RNAcentral.